This 472-nucleotide ribosomal RNA is filed under the name uncultured bacterium. Its description in RNAcentral is "bacterial SSU rRNA". It matches the Rfam family "Bacterial small subunit ribosomal RNA", at positions 355 to 825 of the family's 1533-position model. The record is from RNAcentral.
UGGGGAAUAUUGGACAAUGGGCGCAAGCCUGAUCCAGCCAUGCCGCGUGUGUGAAGAAGGCCUUCGGGUUGUAAAGCACUUUCAGCGAGGAGGAAGGGAGUUGUGUUAAUAGCACAGCUUCUUGACGUUACUCGCAGAAGAAGCACCGGCUAACUCUGUGCCAGCAGCCGCGGUAAUACAGAGGCCCCAAGCGUUAUCCGGAAUCACUGGGCGUAAAGGGUGUCGAGGCGGUUGUAUUAGUCGUUCGUAAAAUCUACGAGCUUAACUUGUAGGCGGCGAACGAAACGGUACGACUUGAGGUUUGGAGAGGUGCGUGGAACUCACGGUGUAGGGGUGAAAUCCGUUGAUAUCGUGGGGAACACCAAAGGCGAAGGCAGCGCACUGGCCAAAAUCUGACGCUCACACACGAAAGCUAGGGUAGCGAAGAGGAUUAGAUACCCAAGUAGUCCCUGAGCGGGCUGGCAAGGCGCAU